GGCGAAAGAGGGGAAAGCAGCCGCGGUAAGACGGUGGGUGCACUGAUUAAUCGGAGUUACUGGGGGUAAUGCGAACGCCGGUGGCUUAUGCAGUCGAUUGUGAAAGUCCGGGUCUGAACCUGGGAAUGGCAGUCGAUACUACUCAGCGAGAGGAUGGGAGAGGGUAGUGGAAUGCCCGGUGUAGCGGUGAAAUGCGUAGAUAUCGGGAGGAACAUCAGUGGCGAAGGCGGCUACCUGGCCCAAUACUGACACUCAGGUGCGACAGCGUGGGGAGCAAACAGGAUUAGAUACCCCGUAGUC
RNAcentral lists this ribosomal RNA (300 nucleotides) under uncultured Pyrobaculum sp. RNAcentral describes it as "bacterial SSU rRNA". It matches the Rfam family "Bacterial small subunit ribosomal RNA", at positions 495 to 795 of the family's 1533-position model. Lineage: Archaea; Thermoproteati; Thermoproteota; Thermoprotei; Thermoproteales; Thermoproteaceae. The record is from RNAcentral.